This 372-nucleotide ribosomal RNA is filed under the name uncultured organism. Its description in RNAcentral is "partial 16S ribosomal RNA". It matches the Rfam family "Bacterial small subunit ribosomal RNA", at positions 527 to 896 of the family's 1533-position model. The record is from RNAcentral.
GUAGGUGGCAAGCGUUGUCCGGAAUUAUUGGGCGUAAAGCGCGCGCAGGGCGGUCCUUUAAGUCUGAUGUGAAAGCCCACGGCUCAACCGUGGAGGGUCAUUGGAAACUGGGGGACUUGAGUACAGAAGAGGAAAGCGGAAUUCCAAGUGUAGCGGUGAAAUGCGUAGAGAUUUGGAGGAACACCAGUGGCGAAGGCGGCUUUCUGGUCUGUAACUGACGCUGAGGCGCGAAAGCGUGGGGAGCAAACAGGAUUAGAUACCCUGGUAGUCCACGCCGUAAACGAUGAGUGCUAAGUGUUAGGGGGUUUCCGCCCCUUAGUGCUGCAGCUAACGCAUUAAGCACUCCGCCUGGGGAGUACGGCCGCAAGGCUA